RNAcentral lists this ribosomal RNA (253 nucleotides) under uncultured bacterium. RNAcentral describes it as "partial 16S ribosomal RNA". It matches the Rfam family "Bacterial small subunit ribosomal RNA", at positions 524 to 776 of the family's 1533-position model. The record is from RNAcentral.
UACGUAGGUGGCAAGCGUUGUCCGGAUUUACUGGGCGUAAAGAGCGCGCAGGCGGUCGUUCAAGUCGCGUGUGAAAGCCCCCGGCUCAACUGGGGAGGGUCACGCGAUACUGAUCGACUGGAAGGCAGGAGAGGAUAGUGGAAUUCCCGGUGUAGUGGUGAAAUGCGUAGAUAUCGGGAGGAACACCAGUGGCGAAGGCGACUACCUGGCCUGUUCUUGACGCCGAGGCGCGAAAGCUAGGGGAGCAAACGGG